RNAcentral lists this ribosomal RNA (187 nucleotides) under uncultured bacterium. Its description in RNAcentral is "partial 16S ribosomal RNA". It matches the Rfam family "Bacterial small subunit ribosomal RNA", at positions 1308 to 1500 of the family's 1533-position model. The record is from RNAcentral.
CAACUCGACUCCAUGAAGCUGGAUUCGCUAGUAAUCGCGCAUCAGCCAUGGCGCGGUGAAUACGUUCCCGGGCCUUGUACACACCGCCCGUCAAGCCAUGGGAGUCGGGAGUGCCUGAAGUUCGUGACCGUCACAGGAGCGACCUAAGGCAAGACCGACGACUGGGGCUAAGUCGUAACAAGGUACC